This 106-nucleotide ribosomal RNA is filed under the name Cirrhilabrus temminckii (threadfin wrasse). RNAcentral's name for it is "partial 16S rRNA". Lineage: Eukaryota; Metazoa; Chordata; Actinopteri; Labriformes; Labridae. The record is from RNAcentral.
UGCAGAGGAGCUAGCCUCUAGUUAAACUUAACAAAUCCACAUCAAUAUCCCCUUAGACCCCACACGUUAAUUAAACAAAACAUUUUUCCCCCUUAGUAUGGGCGAC